UGGGCAAUCUGCCCUUCACUCUGGGACAAGCCCUGGAAACGGGGUCUAAUACCGGAUAACACCCACUCCUGCAUAGGAGAGGGUUAAAAGCUCCGGCGGUGAAGGAUGAGCUCGCGGCCUAUCAGCUUGUUGGUGGGGUAAUGGCCCACCAAGGCAACGACGGGUAGCCGGCCUGAGAGGGUGACCGGCCACACUGGGACUGAGACACGGCCCAGACCUCCGUACGGGAGCAG
This 233-nucleotide ribosomal RNA is filed under the name uncultured bacterium. RNAcentral's name for it is "partial 16S ribosomal RNA". It matches the Rfam family "Bacterial small subunit ribosomal RNA", at positions 118 to 347 of the family's 1533-position model. The record is from RNAcentral.